RNAcentral lists this non-coding RNA (29 nucleotides) under Rattus norvegicus (Norway rat). The record is from RNAcentral. Lineage: Eukaryota; Metazoa; Chordata; Mammalia; Rodentia; Muridae.
AAGGAACACUGAGGAAGAUCCUCCACCUC